GGGGAUGUAGCUCAGUGAUAGAGCACAUGCUUAGUAUAUGUGAGGCCCUGGGUUCAAUUCCCAGUAUCACCA
Molecule: transfer RNA, 72 nt
Filed under: Heterocephalus glaber (naked mole-rat)
Lineage: Eukaryota; Metazoa; Chordata; Mammalia; Rodentia; Bathyergidae
Rfam family: tRNA
About the family: Transfer RNA (tRNA) molecules are approximately 80 nucleotides in length. Their secondary structure includes four short double-helical elements and three loops (D, anti-codon, and T loops).
Source: Rfam by way of RNAcentral